CCUACGGGUGGCAGCAGUGGGGAAUAUUGGUCAAUGGGCUCAAGCCUGACCCAGCAACGCCGCGUGAAGGAAGAAGGCCUUCGGGUUGUAAACUCCUUUUAUCAGGGACGAAGCAAGUGACGCUACCUGAUGAAUAAGCCACGGCUAACUACGUGACAGCAGCCGCGGUAAUACGGAGGUGGCAAGCGUUAUCCGGAUUUACUGGGUGUAAAGGGCGUGUAGGCGGGAGUGCAAGUCAGAGGUGAAAACUAUGGGCUCAACCCAUGGCCUGCAGUUGAAACUGUACUUCUUGAGUGCUGGGGAGGUAAUCGGAAUUCGGUGUGUAGCGGUGAAAUGCGUAGAUAUAAGGAGGAACACCAGUGGCGAAGGCGGAUUGCUGGACAGUAACUGACGCUGAGGCACGAAAGCGUGGGGAGCAAACAGGAUUAGAUACCCUUGUAGUC
This 443-nucleotide ribosomal RNA is filed under the name uncultured bacterium. Its description in RNAcentral is "partial 16S ribosomal RNA". It matches the Rfam family "Bacterial small subunit ribosomal RNA", at positions 338 to 795 of the family's 1533-position model. The record is from RNAcentral.